RNAcentral lists this ribosomal RNA (371 nucleotides) under uncultured bacterium. Its description in RNAcentral is "partial 16S ribosomal RNA". It matches the Rfam family "Bacterial small subunit ribosomal RNA", at positions 338 to 701 of the family's 1533-position model. The record is from RNAcentral.
CCUACGGGUGGCUGCAGUAGGGAAUCUUCCACAAUGGACGAAAGUCUGAUGGAGCAACGCCGCGUGAGUGAAGAAGGGUUUCGGCUCGUAAGGCUCUGUGGGUAGUGAAGAAAGAUAGAGGGAGUAACUGGCCGUUAGUUGACGGUAAUUACGUAGAAAGCCACGGCUAACUACGUGCCAGCAGCCGCGGUAAUACGUAGGUGGCAAGCGUGGGCCGGAUUUCUUGGGCGUAAAGCGAGUGAAGGCGGUUCGAUAAGUCUGUUGUGAAAGCCUUCGGCUCAACCGGAGAAUUGCAUCCGAAACUGUUGACCUUGAGUGCAGGAGAGGAGAGUGGAACUCCAUGUGUAGCGGUGUAAUGCGUCGAUAUAUGG